UGGUGGGUAGUUUGACUGGGGCGGUCUCCUCCUAAAGAGUAACGGAGGAGCACGAAGGUUGGCUAAUCCUGGUCGGACAUCAGGAGGUUAGUGCAAUGGCAUAAGCCAGCUUGACUGCGAGCGUGACGGCGCGAGCAGGUGCGAAAGCAGGUCAUAGUGAUCCGGUGGUUCUGAAUGGAAGGGCCAUCGCUCAACGGAUAAAAGGUACUCCGGGGAUAACAGGCUGAUACCGCCCAAGAGUUCAUAUCGACGGCGGUGUUUGGCACCUCGAUGUCGGCUCAUCACAUCCUGGGGCUGAAGUAGGUCCCAAGGGUAUGGCUGUUCGCCAUUUAAAGUGGUACGCGAGCUGGGUUUAGAACGUCGUGAGACAGUUCGGUCCCUAUCUGCCGUGGGCGCUGGAGAACUGAGGGGGGCUGCUCCUAGUACGAGAGGACCGGAGUGGACGCAUCACUGGUGUUCGGGUUGUCAUGCCAAUG
RNAcentral lists this ribosomal RNA (476 nucleotides) under Escherichia coli. Its description in RNAcentral is "partial 23S ribosomal RNA". It matches the Rfam family "Bacterial large subunit ribosomal RNA", at positions 2259 to 2734 of the family's 2925-position model. RNAcentral also lists the same sequence under 6 other names. Lineage: Bacteria; Pseudomonadati; Pseudomonadota; Gammaproteobacteria; Enterobacterales; Enterobacteriaceae. The record is from RNAcentral.